GAUGAACGCUGGCGGCGCGCCUAACACAUGCAAGUCGAACGGUUAAAGCAUCUUCGGAUGUGUAUAAAGUGGCGAACGGCUGAGUAACACAUGGGCAACCUGCCCUUUGCACUGGGAUAGCCUCGGGAAACCGAGGUUAAUACCGGAUACUCCAUAUUUGUCGCAUGGCGAAUAUGGGAAAGCUCCGGCGGCAAAGGAUGGGCCCGCGGCCUGUUAGCUAGUUGGUGGGGUAGUGGCCUACCAAGGCAAUGAUGGGUAGCCGGGUUGAGAGACCGACCGGCCAGAUUGGGACUGAGACACGGCCCAGACUCCUACGGGAGGCAGCAGUGGGGAAUCUUGCACAAUGGGCGAAAGCCUGAUGCAGCGACGCCGCGUGCGGGAUGAAGGCCUUCGGGUUGUAAACCGCUUUCAGCAGGCACGAGGCCGCAAGGUGACGGUACCUGCAGAAGAAGCCCCGGCUAACUACGUGCCAGCAGCCGCGGUAAUACGUAGGGGGCAAGCGUUAUCCGGAUUCAUUGGGCGUAAAGCGCGCGUAGGCGGUCUGUUAGGUCAGGAGUUAAAUCUGGGGGCUCAACCCCUAUCCGCUCCUGAUACCGGCAGGCUUGAGUCUGGUAGGGGAAGAUGGAAUUCCAAGUGUAGCGGUGAAAUGCGCAGAUAUUUGGAAGAACACCGGUGGCGAAGGCGGUCUUCUGGGCCAUGACUGACGCUGAGGCGCGAAAGCUAGGGGAGCGAACAGG
Molecule: ribosomal RNA, 737 nt
Filed under: uncultured Coriobacteriaceae bacterium
Lineage: Bacteria; Bacillati; Actinomycetota; Coriobacteriia; Coriobacteriales; Coriobacteriaceae
Description: bacterial SSU rRNA
Rfam family: Bacterial small subunit ribosomal RNA
Source: RNAcentral